RNAcentral lists this ribosomal RNA (440 nucleotides) under uncultured bacterium. Its description in RNAcentral is "partial 16S ribosomal RNA". It matches the Rfam family "Bacterial small subunit ribosomal RNA", at positions 338 to 795 of the family's 1533-position model. The record is from RNAcentral.
CCUACGGGAGGCAGCAGUGGGGAAUAUUGCACAAUGGGGGGAACCCUGAUGCAGCGACGCCGCGUGAGUGAUGAAGUUUUUCGGUAUGUAAAGCUCUAUCAGCAGGGAAGAAAAUGACGGUAUCUGACUAAUAAGCCCCGGCUAACUACGUGCCAGCAGCCGCGGUAAUACGUAGGGGGCAAGCGUUAUCCGGAUUUACUGGGUGUAAAGGGAGCGCAGGCGGCUGUGCAAGUCUGGAGUGAAAGGCUGUGGCUCAACCACCGGACUGCUUUUGAAACUGUAAAGCUGGAGUGCAGGAGAGGUAAGCGGAAUUCGUGGUGUAGCGGUGAAAUGCGUAGAUAUUAGGAGGAACACCAGUGGCGAAGGCGGCUUACUGGACUGCAACUGACGUUGAGGCUCGAAAGCGUGGGGAGCAAACAGGAUUAGAUACCCCUGUAGUC